CCUGAGGGGAAAUCGGCGGGA
RNAcentral lists this microRNA (21 nucleotides) under Oryza sativa (Asian cultivated rice). RNAcentral describes it as "osa-miR2096-3p". RNAcentral also lists the same sequence under 1 other name. Lineage: Eukaryota; Viridiplantae; Streptophyta; Magnoliopsida; Poales; Poaceae. The record is from miRBase by way of RNAcentral.